RNAcentral lists this transfer RNA (69 nucleotides) under bovine gut metagenome. It matches the Rfam family "tRNA". From Rfam's summary of the family: Transfer RNA (tRNA) molecules are approximately 80 nucleotides in length. Their secondary structure includes four short double-helical elements and three loops (D, anti-codon, and T loops). Further hydrogen bonds mediate the characteristic L-shaped molecular structure. tRNAs have two regions of fundamental functional importance: the anti-codon, which is responsible for specific mRNA codon recognition, and the 3' end, to which the tRNAs corresponding amino acid is attached (by aminoacyl-tRNA synthetases). tRNAs cope with the degeneracy of the genetic code in two manners: having more than one tRNA (with a specific anti-codon) for a particular amino acid; and 'wobble' base-pairing, i.e. permitting non-standard base-pairing at the 3rd anti-codon position. The record is from RNAcentral. RNAcentral also lists the same sequence under 1 other name.
CUAGGUAGCUCAGUUGGUAGAGCAACGGACUGAAAAUCCGUGUGUCGCCGGUUCGAUCCCGGCCCUGGC